This 404-nucleotide ribosomal RNA is filed under the name uncultured prokaryote. Its description in RNAcentral is "bacterial SSU rRNA". It matches the Rfam family "Bacterial small subunit ribosomal RNA", at positions 355 to 776 of the family's 1533-position model. The record is from RNAcentral.
UGGGGAAUAUUGCACAAUGGGCGAAAGCCUGAUGCAGCAACGCCGCGUGAGUGAUGAAGGCCCUCGGGUCGUAAAGCUCUUUGAUCAGGGAUGAUAAUGACAGUACCUGAAAAACAAGCCACGGCUAACUACGUGCCAGCAGCCGCGGUAAUACGUAGGUUGCAAGCGUUGUCCGGAUUUACUGGGUGUAAAGGGCGUGUAGGCGGAGAUGCAAGUUGGGAGUGAAAUCCCGGGGCUCAACCCCGGAACUGCUUUCAAAACUGUAUCCCUUGAGUGUCGGAGAGGCAAGCGGAAUUCCUAGUGUAGCGGUGAAAUGCGUAGAUAUUAGGAGGAACACCAGUGGCGAAGGCGGCUUGCUGGACGAUAACUGACGCUGAGGCGCGAAAGCGUGGGGAGCAAACAGG